UCCGGGAUCGUCUAAUGGCAGGACAGCAGCCUUUGGAGCUGCGAAUCGGGGUUCGAAUCCCUGUCCCGGAA
This 71-nucleotide transfer RNA is filed under the name bacterium. RNAcentral describes it as "tRNA-Gln". It matches the Rfam family "tRNA". Rfam says of the family: Transfer RNA (tRNA) molecules are approximately 80 nucleotides in length. The record is from RNAcentral. RNAcentral also lists the same sequence under 1 other name.